CGAACGUUGGCGGCGUGGAUUAGGCAUGCAAGUCGAACGAGAAAGCAUCCUUCGGGGUGUGAGUAAAGUGGCGAACUGGUGAGUAACAGGUGGGUAAUGUGCCUCAUGGCGGGGGAUAGCCUUUGGAAACAGAGGGUAAUACCGCAUACGGCUCCUUGGAUAACGGUCCGAGGGGUUAAAGGCUCAUCUUCGGAUGAGUCGCCAAGAGAGCAGCCCGCUCCCGAUUAGCUUGUUGGUGGGGUAACGGCCUACCAAGGCAACGAUCGGUAGGUGGCCUGAGAGGGUGGUCACCCACACUGGGACUGAGAUACGGCCCAGACUCCUACGGGGGGCAGCAGUCUAGAAGCUUCCACAAUGGACGAAAGUCUGAUGGAGCGACGCCGCGUGCGGGAUUGAAGGCCGUAAGGUUGUAAACCGCUGUCAGCAGGGAAGAAUGCCCGGAUGGUGAAUCCGGGAGAGACGGUACCUGCAGAGGAAGCCCCGGCUAAAUCC
RNAcentral lists this ribosomal RNA (492 nucleotides) under uncultured bacterium. RNAcentral's name for it is "bacterial SSU rRNA". It matches the Rfam family "Bacterial small subunit ribosomal RNA", at positions 30 to 504 of the family's 1533-position model. The record is from RNAcentral.